GUGGGGAAUCUUAGACAAUGGGCGCAAGCCUGAUCUAGCCAUGCCGCGUGAGCGAUGAAGGCCUUAGGGUUGUAAAGCUCUUUCGUGGGGGAAGAUAAUGACUGUACCCCAAGAAGAAGCCCCGGCUAACUCCGUGCCAGCAGCCGCGGUAAUACGGAGGGGGCUAGCGUUGUUCGGAAUUACUGGGCGUAAAGCGCACGUAGGCGGACUGGAAAGUCAGGGGUGAAAUCCCGGGGCUCAACCCCGGAACUGCCUUUGAAACUCCCAGUCUUGAGUGCGAGAGAGGUGAGUGGAAUUCCGAGGGUAGAGGUGAAAUUCGUAGAUAUUCGGAGGAACACCAGUGGCGAAGGCGGCUCACUGGCUCGAUACUGACGCUGAGGUGCGAAAGCGUGGGGAGCAAACAGGAUUAGAUACCCUAGUAGUCC
RNAcentral lists this ribosomal RNA (425 nucleotides) under uncultured bacterium. RNAcentral's name for it is "partial 16S ribosomal RNA". It matches the Rfam family "Bacterial small subunit ribosomal RNA", at positions 354 to 796 of the family's 1533-position model. The record is from RNAcentral.